CGGGACACGUGGUAUCCUGUCUGAAUAUGGGGGGACCAUCCUCCAAGGCUAAAUACUCCUGACUGACCGAUAGUGAACCAGUACCGUGAGGGAAAGGCGAAAAGAACCCCGGCGAGGGGAGUGAAAAAGAACCUGAAACCGUGUACGUACAAGCAGUGGGAGCCUCUUAAUGGGGUGACUGCGUACCUUUUGUAUAAUGGGUCAGCGACUUAUAUUCUGUAGCAAGGUUAACCGAAUAGGGGAGCCGAAGGGAAACCGAGUCUUAACUGGGCGUUAAGUUGCAGGGUAUAGACCCGAAACCCGGUGAUCUAGCCAUGGGCAGGUUGAAGGUUGGGUAACACUAACUGGAGGACCGAACCGACUAAUGUUGAAAAAUUAGCGGAUGACUUGUGGCUGGGGGUGAAAGGCCAAUCAAACCGGGAGAUAGCUGGUUCUCCCCGAAAGCUAUUUAGGUAGCGCCUCGUGAAUUCAUCUCCGGGGGUAGAGCACUGUUUCGGCAAGGGGGUCAUCCCGACUUACCAACCCGAUGCAAACUGCGAAUACCGGAGAAUGUUAUCACGGGAGACACACGGCGGGUGCUAACGUCCGUCGUGAAGAGGGAAACAACCCAGACCGCCAGCUAAGGUCCCAAAGUCAUGGUUAAGUGGGAAACGAUGUGGGAAGGCCCAGACAGCCAGGAUGUUGGCUUAGAAGCAGCCAUCAUUUAAAGAAAGCGUAAUAGCUCACUGGUCGAGUCGGCCUGCGCGGAAGAUGUAACGGGGCUAAACCAUGCACCGAAGCUGCGGCAGCGACACUAUGUGUUGUUGGGUAGGGGAGCGUUCUGUAAGCCUGUGAAGGUGUACUGUGAGGUAUGCUGGAGGUAUCAGAAGUGCGAAUGCUGACAUAAGUAACGAUAAAGCGGGUGAAAAGCCC
RNAcentral lists this ribosomal RNA (912 nucleotides) under Escherichia coli. RNAcentral describes it as "partial 23S ribosomal RNA". It matches the Rfam family "Bacterial large subunit ribosomal RNA", at positions 418 to 1331 of the family's 2925-position model. Lineage: Bacteria; Pseudomonadati; Pseudomonadota; Gammaproteobacteria; Enterobacterales; Enterobacteriaceae. The record is from RNAcentral.